GAGGGAGAAGCUAUCUUCGGAUAGUGGAGACCGGCAGACGGGUGAGUAACACGUGGGAACAUACCGAGUAGUGGGGGAUAACAGUUGGAAACGACUGCUAAUACCGCAUACGCCCUUCGGGGGAAAGAUUUAUCGCUAUUCGAUUGGCCCGCGUUAGAUUAGCUAGUUGGUAAGGUAACGGCUUACCAAGGCGACGAUCUAUAGCUGGUUUGAGAGGAUGAUCAGCCACACUGGGACUGAGACACGGCCCAGACUCCUACGGGAGGCAGCAGUGGGGAAUAUUGCGCAAUGGAGGAAACUCUGACGCAGCCAUGCCGCGUGAGUGAAGAAGGCCUUAGGGUUGUAAAGCUCUUUCAGACGUGAUGAUGAUGACAGUAGCGUCAAAAGAAGUUCCGGCUAACUUCGUGCCAGCAGCCGCGGUAAUACGAAGGGAACUAGCGUUGUUCGGAUUUACUGGGCGUAAAGAGCAUGUAGGCGGAUUGGACAGUUGAGGGUGAAAUCCCAGAGCUCAACUCUGGAACGGCCUUCAAUACUUCCAGUCU
This 542-nucleotide ribosomal RNA is filed under the name uncultured Alphaproteobacteria bacterium. RNAcentral describes it as "bacterial SSU rRNA". It matches the Rfam family "Bacterial small subunit ribosomal RNA", at positions 64 to 642 of the family's 1533-position model. The record is from RNAcentral. Lineage: Bacteria; Pseudomonadati; Pseudomonadota; Alphaproteobacteria.